GAUGAACGCUGGCGGCGUGCCUAAUACAUGCAAGUCGAGCGAUCAGACGAGAGGUUGGCGCCUCUGACGAUAGCGGCGCACGGGUGAGUAACACGGGGAUAACCUACUUAUAUUACGGGGAUGACUUCGGAAAACCGGAGCUAAUACCGGAGAAUAUAUUGGACCGGAUGGGGCAGUAGGUAAAGACGGUUUUGCUUUCACUUAUGGAUUGACCCGCGCCGCGUUGGGUAGUUGGUAAGGUAACGGGUUACCAAGUGAACGAUGGGUAGCCUAGGUGAGCGAGUGGUAGGCCACCUUGGAACGUAGACGCGGUCCAGACUACUACGGGACGGCGCAGUCGGGUACCUUACGCAAUGGGCGAGAGCUUUGCGGAGCGACGCGGCGUGAGUGAUGACGGUCCUGGGAUCGUAAAGAUGUGUUAUUAGGGAAGAACAACUGUGUCCGUCAAUAUGCACGUCUUGACGGUAGAUGAUGAGAAAGCCACGGCUAACUACGUG
RNAcentral lists this ribosomal RNA (497 nucleotides) under uncultured bacterium. RNAcentral's name for it is "partial 16S ribosomal RNA". It matches the Rfam family "Bacterial small subunit ribosomal RNA", at positions 28 to 507 of the family's 1533-position model. The record is from RNAcentral.